GAGUUUGAUCCUGGCUCAGAUGAACGCUGGCGGCGUGCCUAAUACAUGCAAGUCGAGCGAGAAUCAGCGGAACGGAGAUUCGUCGAAGUGAAGCAGAGGAAAGCGGCGGACGGGUGAGUAACGCGUAGGCAACCUGCCCUUAGCAGAGGGAUAGCCAUUGGAAACGAUGAUUAAAACCUCAUAAUGCUGACAGUACACAUGUGCAGUCAGCCAAAGAUUUAUCGGCUAGGGAUGGGCCUGCGUCUGAUUAACUGGUUGGUGAGGUAACGGCCCACCAAGGUGACGAUCAGUAGCCGACCUGAGAGGGUGAUCGGCCACAUUGGAACUGAGACACGGUCCAAACUUCUACGGAAGGCAGCAGUAAGGAAUCUUGCACAAUGGGGGAAGCCCUGAUGCAGCAACGCCGCGUGAACGAUGAAGGCCUUAGGGUUGUAAAGUUCUGAUCUGGGGGAAGAAGAAGUGACGGUACCCCAGGAGAAAGCCCCGGCUAAAUACGUGCCAGCAGCCGCGGUAAUACGUAUGGGGCAAGCGUUAUCCGGAAUUAUUGGGCGUAAAGAGUGCGUAGGUGGUUACCUAAGCGCAAGGUUUAAUCUUGAGGCUCAACCUCAUUCUGCCUUGCGAACUGGGCUACUUGAGUGCAGGAGGGGAAAGCGGAAUUCCCAGUGUAGCGGUGAAAUGCGUAGAUAUUGGGAAGAACACCGGGUGGCGAAGGCGGCUUUCUGGACUGUAACUGACACUGAGGCACGAAAGCGUGGGGAGCAAACAGGAUUAGAUACCCUGGUAGUCCACGCCGUAAACGAUGAGCACUAGUUGUUGGGUACGAAUGUAUUCAGUGACGCAGUUAACGCAAUAAGUGCUCCGCCUGGGGAGUACGGUGGCAACACUAAAACUCAAAGGAAUUGACGGGGACCCGCACAAGCAGCGGAGCAUGUGGUUUAAUUCGAAGCAACGCGAAAAACCUUACCAGGGCUUGACAUCCCUCUGACCGGAUCUUAACCGAUCCUUUCUUCGGACAGAGGUGACAGGUGGUGCAUGGUUGUCGUCAGCUCGUGUCGUGAGAUGUUGGGUUAAGUCCCGCAACGAGCGCAACCCUUGUCGUCAGUUACUAACAUUCAGUUGAGGACUCUGACGAGACUGCCGAGGUCAACUCGGAGGAAGGUGGGGAUGACGUCAAAUCAUCAUGCCCCUUAUGUUCUGGGCUACACACGUGCUACAAUGGCCGGUACAAUGAGAAGCAAUAUGGCGACAAGGAGCAAAUCACCAAAACCGGUCCCAGUUCGGAUUGCAGGCUGCAACUCGCCUGCAUGAAGUCGGAGUUGCUAGUAAUCGCGAAUCAGCAUGUCGCGGUGAAUGCGUUCCCGGGUCUUGUACACACCGCCCGUCACACCAUGGAAGUUGGGGGCGCCCAAAGUUGGCUAAUCAAUCUGCUACCUAAGGCGAAACCAAUGACUGGGGUGAAGUCGUAACAAGGUAACC
This 1476-nucleotide ribosomal RNA is filed under the name uncultured rumen bacterium. RNAcentral's name for it is "bacterial SSU rRNA". It matches the Rfam family "Bacterial small subunit ribosomal RNA". The record is from RNAcentral.